UAGGGAAUCUUCCGCAAUGGACGAAAGUCUGACGGAGCAACGCCGCGUGAGUGAAGAAGGAUUUCGGUUCGUAAAACUCUGUUUUUAGGGAAGAAAAAAUGUAUAGUAACUAUAUACAAAAGAGACGGUACCUAACCAGAAAGCCACGGCUAACUACGUGCCAGCAGCCGCGGUAAUACGUAGGUGGCAAGCGUUGUCCGGAAUUAUUGGGCGUAAAGCGCGCGCAGGUGGUUUAGAAAGUCUGAUGUGAAAGCCCACGGCUCAACCGUGGAGGGUCAUUGGAAACUAAUAAACUUGAGUGCAGGAGAGAAAAGUGGAAUUCCUAGUGUAGCGGUGAAAUGCGUAGAGAUUAGGAGGAACACCGGUGGCGAAAGCGGCUUUUUGGCCUGCAACUGACACUGAGGCGCGAAAGCGUGGGGAGCAAACAGG
Molecule: ribosomal RNA, 429 nt
Filed under: Verrucomicrobiota bacterium
Lineage: Bacteria; Pseudomonadati; Verrucomicrobiota
Description: Verrucomicrobia bacterium partial 16S ribosomal RNA
Rfam family: Bacterial small subunit ribosomal RNA
Source: RNAcentral